Long non-coding RNA from Harpia harpyja (harpy eagle), 818 nucleotides. RefSeq lists it as uncharacterized. NCBI's taxonomy places the organism in Eukaryota, Metazoa, Chordata, Aves, Accipitriformes, Accipitridae. The record is from RefSeq and is a predicted model, not a curated record. The transcript is spliced from 3 exons.
AAUGUGGAAUUUCAAUUGGUAAAUUUGCCACUAGUAAUGCUGUGCUGGAGGGCUUCAGUGAAGCAGAAAGCAACAGAAAAUGUGGAAAGACUAUUUGACUAUUGAGUGCAGAUGAGCUUGACUGAAAAAUUAAUUUUUAUUUGCAUCUGUAUAAUUUUUUUCAUCCCAUCUCUGAAAGAGAAUGGGGGAGCAGGAGAAGGGGUGGUGGGGAAGAGGAUCCAGAUACAUAAAUAUUCCUCCUUUGAUGAUCAAAAUCUAUGUCUGAAUCCAAGAACUAGGACUUGGACCCUUUUUAUGGGUAACAUAUUGCAGAUAAAUUCAACACAACAGAAUUUCUACGCAGACAAUCACAUUCAAUAAGGCUAUGCAGCUCUGGGUCCUAAUGAGCAUACACUGGUGAUUACCAAAUAAACAGUUAGGAAUUCUUGCCAUAUGGAAAGUUAUCUUCAGUGUUUACAAUGACUUCACCCAGCUGUCACUGCAAAGUGGCCAGCAGUAGAAUUACUCUCUUUUCAAUCUGUCAGGAAACUUCAAAGACAAGAUACCAUCAACAUGGAUUGUUGUUUUUCAGUAUUACACCCCUUACAGUGAAAGUGAAGAACCUGGAGCACAGAUGACCUGCUGCAACCAUUAUCUAUAUCCAGCCCUGGCCCUCCAGUGCCCCUGCUUGCUUGAAGAAGAUUGGUGCUGUCAGAGUACAAAGGGGUAUUGAAAGAAGGCAACUUUCCACAGAAUUUGCCUUCUUGAAAGACAGAACAAAGCUGCUAUAGACACACCUAGACUCCUGUCCUAUUCCCUGGAAUUGGAAUAUGUCAAGA